Gasterosteus aculeatus aculeatus (three-spined stickleback) is the source of this 2081-nucleotide long non-coding RNA. NCBI's taxonomy places the organism in Eukaryota, Metazoa, Chordata, Actinopteri, Perciformes, Gasterosteidae. The record is from Ensembl.
ACAAACUGUUGUGUUGUGAUGUUUUACCCGGUAAAAAAGCAUUACUUGUGGGUUAUUAUUUGUUGUUAUAGUCAUAACCAGAAGCGGCUGGUCUAUUGAGGGCAAUGGGGCGUGGCCCCACCAUGAGCGAAGAAGAAAAAAAACAUUUUACAAAUAGUCAAUAUUUGUGUUUUUGAAACAUGGACUAGAUAUACCCGGUAAUAUUUGUAAAUUAAGAUAUCAGCACAAAAUGUAUGCUUUUCCUGUCCUCUCCGCAUUUCUCAGCAGGGUUAUUUUCGCCUUUCUUCCCUAUGCCAAAUAGCAAUGGAUUGCGAAGAGCGUGGCGUAUCAUCUCAGAGUGGCUUACUGCACUCAUCCCCUUUGCUGGUAAGUGCAGCAAACAUGCAUACGGACAACAGAAGCGAUGAGAAAUAGUAAAAGAGAAAAAGAGCUUCUCAAUCUCUCCACCUGGGACAGUAAUGUCCUAUGAGAGAAAGAGGGGGGGAGAGUGUGUGUGUGAUCCAGCAAGGCAGGCGACAGAAAGACAGAACAGCUUCGGAGUGUGUUGCCAUGAAAGAGGAAGCACAUUGGUCAUUUUGAUGGUUAUUUCUGAACAUCACCAUAAGGCAUGUGUCAGAUGGACUAUUAGGCCAGAACAUAUGCGCAAACACGCAUCCCCAUACGCACGCAUACGUCCCCAUCCGUGCACCAGCGCGGACACACACAGGGUGUGUAAAUGGCCCGUGCUACGCGGUUCUGUCCUAUGGGGUCUUCCUAAGUGGGUGAUUAUGUGUAAAUGGUCAUGUAAUGACGUGUUGCCUUGCGCUAAUGUGCCCAUCAAAUGUUCACGGCUUCGACAGAGCCGUGUCCCCAAAGACAGCAUAAUGGACACUCUAAGCGCUCGCUGGUCCUUGGAAACAGAAGGGUAAUGUGGAUGAGCAGCAGCAACAGGAGGUGAGACAUCGAGCUUGGUGAGCAAUCAGUUCCAGUAUGCCUGGAUCGGAAUCCUCUAAAGGAUAAAAGAGUGAAUGGAUGGGAUGUUUUGGACACCAGUUUUGGACGGGUUUCACUGACCGCCAUCCAUUUGUUCACAAAGUAAGGUUUGAAUUUCCUGCAGACAGAUUGCUUGGAGUAGUUGUAAUGUUACCAUACGAUGCAAAGGAAAAUCCCCUGAAAGGUUAGUAAGUGGAUGUUGACCAUGAUUAUUUGCUCAGUUCUUGGUACAUUCAUACAUUCAUUUCAAGAUUAGAUUUUGCCAUUUGCUCCCUCUAAAUAAACAUUUUAGGUAUCAAAUGUGGUUGAUUAUGGGUUAAAAAAAGUCUAGAAUUUGCAGUUAAGUUAAAUCUGAACUAAAGAAUCUCUGCGUAACAUCCAGCAAGAAAAAGUAUUCUCAUCUAAUUACGUUGGACUUUCCAAAAUCCCAAACCCUCAAAACAGACACAGCUCUUCUCUUGGGCACACGCUAUGUUUGCGCAUCACUGGUCUCUUGUUGAUUCCUUCUGCAUCGCUUUUUUUCCGUGUUUUCAUGUAUUUACUGAGUUUCUUCUUGUAAUGUUGGGCGAGCUGCACCCAGCAUGCUGUUCGGGGUAAUUUUAUAAUAAUUUUGUAAUUUUUAUAAAUGUACAAUUCAAUCCGGAGAGACAAUUCUUUAUUAUAACAGGUAUAAUAUGAUAUUGCAAGUUGUUUGGGGCUUGGACUCCAUCCUGCCGCAGGACAGACCCGGGUCCGGGAUCUCGAGCCGAGACGAGGCAUAUCCCCCCCUUGGGAGUCCAGACACUGGUGGUGGUGGUGGUAGAGCCCAAGUUGCAUAACUCUCCAGCUAUGCCCGGUUCUGCUGUAGAUUGGAGGUGUCAGGGGUGCUGGCCGUGCGCCCCCAGGGAGAGAGGAGGCCACCAGGGAACGGCACAGCCUGUCCAGUCUUCCUGACUGAAUUUUCGCCUAAGCUUCAUUUCAAUCCGGAGAGACUUGUUGAAAUUUGAACAAUGCUUUAUUGUAACAGGUAUAAUAUGAUAUUGCAAGUUGUUUGGGGCUUGGACUCAAUCCUGCCGCAGGACAGACCCGGGGCCGGGAUCUCGAGCCGAGACGAGGCAUACCCCCCAAAC